GUUUUAUAAGUGUUUGGCAGUUCCUCCUUCAAUUACUCUCCCUCUUGCUCUCUCGCCUGCUGCUGCGUAGGACGUGCUUGCUUCCUCCUCGGCUUCUGUCAUGAUUUUAAGUUUCCUGAAGUCUCCUAGCCAUGCUUCCUAUUAAGUCUGCAGAACGAGCCCGCCUGGAGUUUCCUGUCAUGUGUACUUUUCAUUGGCAGUUCACAACAUGGCAGCUUGCUUCUUCAAGGCCAGUAGAAGGAAAAUCUGCUAGCAAGAUGGAGGCUUAUAUAACAUCACACAAUCGUUGGAGUAACUGACUUCCCAUCACCUUUACCAUAUUAUGUUAAUUAGAAGCAAGUCACAAGUCUAUCUACAUUCAAGGGGAGAUAGUUACACAAAGGCAUGAAUGCCAAGAGGUAGGGGUUGGAAGUGGUGCAUCUAGAAUUUGCCUAUUGUCUGCAAAUAUAGGUACACAUGCAUAUAUUUACUAGGCCUGUCCACUGAAAAGCGAUAACAGUAAAAUUAGUAUAAAAAUUGGUAACUUUUCAAUUAUAGCUAAAAGAUUGACUUUUCUCUAAAAACAAAAACUUAAGAUGGUCUCUGUCUUCAAUGAGGUACAACUUCUUUUGGUGGGCUGUUUCCCUCUACCACUCUACAGCAAAUGAAAUUUAUAAAGCACUGAUCUGGCUUAGUUUGAUAUAUCAUAUAUUAAAAGUAAUGACUUUUUAUUCAUGUAUGAAAAUCAUUUUACAAAAUAUUUAUGAUAUUAAAUUUAAAUGCUUUAACUUAUGUGGUUAAUAUAGUUCUUUAAAUUUGUAGCUGAAGAAAACUAAAAAAUUUUUAGCAAAUGCUCUUCUCAUUGUAUGGAACUAUAUUUCAAUGCAAAUUUUUAUGAAUCAUGGGAGACAUAAUUACUUUAGACAUGUAGAAACUACGAAAAUAACUCAAUAAAAUGAUGCAGCAUAAAGCAGGAAUAGUUCUUCAAGCAUUACCAGAAACAAGGGUGGUGGAGGUCAAGAGUUCAAAAAAAGUCAUAGUUAUAUCAGAAUCUGAAAGAAAUUAGGUGCAAGAGAAGGGAAAAAUAGAGGCAAACCACAUAAUUGUCAUAUUAAUUAGGGAUAAUGUCAAGGAAACAGUUGAUGACUGCUCGUAUGGCAAGCUAACUAGCAAAGGUUAUAGAAGAUCUUUUAGCAACAUAAUAUCUUGCACGCAUGUAAUUUAUUUUUGAAUUCUACAAUUUCAACAAGCUGGCAUCUUGUUCAUCCAAAAUUGUCUUAGUAAUAUGAAGUAAAUAUAGAACAAUUUUUAAGGGAAUAUUUAUGUCUGGCUGUGUACAUUAGCCAUAGCAUAACAAAUUAAAAACUAAUAACAAAGAUGAUCAUUUAGUAGCAAAACCGCAAGAAGCAAAUAAAGGACAAAUCAACAUAAAAUUUUCUAAUCGACAAUUAAAAAAAUAGGGUCAGCAUGUGUGCUAUUUCAAAAUUUUAAAGAGCCUUACACUCACUAUAAAUUACAAACUUUACCAAAACAUUUUUUCUGUAAUAUUUACAGAUGCAACUUGUUAAUAUGUAUUACAUUUCCCACCUAGAAUAAAACACAGUUUUUACUGUUUUUAAAAAAAAUCUAUUUGUUAGGGUUCCAUUACGGAAAUAUAAUUAUUAUGAGUUGCUAUGGUCUGAAGGUUUGUGGCCACACAAAAUUUAUUUGUUGAAAUCUAAUCCGUGUGCAGUAAUAUUAAAGGUGGGGCUUUUAGGAGGUGAUUAGGUCGUGAGGGCAGAGCCCUCAUGAAUGAGACUAGUGUCCUUAUGAAAGAGGCCCACAGGAGGUUGCUUGACCCUUCUACCAUGUGAGGACACAGCAAGAAGUCAUCUUCUGUGAACCAAGAGCUUUCACCAGACACUGAAUCUGUUGGCACCUUGAUCUUUGGCUUCCCAGGCUCCGGAAUCAUGGGAAUAAAUUUCUACUGUUUAUAAAUUGCCAAGCCUAAGGUAUUUUUAUAGCAGCCCGAACAACCUAAGACAUAAGUACAAUGGAAAAAUUAAGUUAUUGAAAGAAUAAAGCCUACGCUUGUGGGAAAAGCAAGUGUGUCAGAAGAUAGAAUUUGAAGAUCAGACAAAAGUCAACUAACUUUUGUUCCCAAAGCCAGGAACGUUGAAUUCCCAUAGUGGAAACAUAAAGGAGAAGUGGUGAAGUCCAUGGAAGACUGUUGCCUCUGCAUUUGUUGGUGGGCCUGGGGUCACUUUUUCUAUCAAGGCUGACAGUUGGGAAAAAAAAGAGUGAUGUGGCCCAUGGGACAGUGAGAAGAAGAUGAAAUUCAUCAUGGUCUGCAUCUGACAAUUGCUGUCACUGAUCAUGAUGACAUACUGAUAGUAAAAUUUGUUUGAUCUUUCUAAAUCUCUCUAAAUCUCAACAAUUGUAUUUUUAGUCAACUCAGAACAUAAAGGAAAGAAAAUUCUUUGGGACUGUGAUUCCAGCUUAGAUAAGUUGAUAAAUUACAAAGCACUAUGUGAUUGACAUGCAAGAAAAAGGAAUCCCAUGGAAAAUGUUAUUUAUAAAUUCCUAUGGUAACACAUAGAACCUUUGUAUUGCCGUUUUAUCUUCACUAAUAUUAGAUAUCAUCAAUGCAAAUGACAAGUAUUUUACUGUGAGAUUUCCAACUUUGCAAUUAAAACCAACUUUUGCAAUUGCAAGGGAAUAUAUAAUAUAGUUACCUUUUAAUUAUUUUUAGUAUUUCAUAAAUAUACUGUAUAGAUCUCACCACAAAAUCAUAGUUAAAAAUUAUAUUCAGUAAUUUACUUUCUGUAUUCAGAAUGUUACUAGUGAUGAUGACACAUAGUAAAGAAGGAAAAGAAAUGUAAUUUGAAAUAUCAGCAUAUUUUUGUCUAGAGUUUUGUCUAGAUUUUGUCUACAAGCUAGCUAUGCUGCUUGUACCAACACAGGGCAAUCAAGUGAAAAUGAAAAAGUUUAAACAAGUAUCUUACAUGACUGGUGCACAAAAAAAAUUGUAGUUAUUUUUCAUUGAUAUUACUAUUUUUCUGAAAUGACUAGAGUUUUAAGUUCACAUACCUGAAAUCUGGUUUUAUGUUUGCUUUCUUGUGGUUACAAGUUCUAUCAGCAUAAUAUUUCAGAAGAUAAACCAUAACUUCAAAGCAAUGAUAUUGACCAAAACAUCUGACAAAUGUACCUCACAGAAGUUUCUGUUUGCACUAAAUGAAAACUAUUCAAAACCCAUUUAAAUGCACUGUCAGCCUUUUAUACAUUGUAUAGCACUUUGUAUUUCAGGUUUAUGAAUAUAUGCUCUUCCAUUUUAUAAGAAAUAAAAGUGGAACUAAGAGCUGGUAUUUCAAUUUUCAAGAGAGUAAUACUGUAGGGUACAGGAUUUGACAAGCUUCCUGUAACUCAAGCUUUUCCCAAUCUAAUAUGCUUACUCUUGCUGGAAGAAAGAACCCUAAAUAUCUGUAUUUAUUAAGCCUUCUAAGAAACUAUUCAAAUAAAUACAUAUUUAAAAGUUUCAGUUGAAGACUGACAUCCACAUGUUAGAGGUUAUCACUUCUUUUCUUUUCUUUUUUUUUUUUUUUAGGUCCCCAAACUUAUUUGCAAACGUUAUGGGCUUAUUGUGGAUUUUACAGUAAGAUUUCUUGAUAAAGGUGAGGUAUCAAAGGAACACUUUCGUCCUGAUAACUCACUAAAGUGAGAGAAAAGAGCUUUUUAUAUGAUAUAUAUUGACAAGGACAUAGCUGGAGAUGGGACAAGGUCAGUGACAUCUUGGAACUGCAAAGCAGAAGUAGGGAUUGACUGACUUCACAGGUCUAAGAAAGCUGAAUCCUGAGUUAAUUGUACCGUCCCCAAAAGGCCCUGGAAUUGGUAACAUCCAGGAUCUCUAUAAGUGUUGGAUAAAAGAGGGUUGUCUUAAAGUCUCAUUAAAGACCACGUGGAAGACAGGGCAAAGUGAAAACUUAUAUAAUGAAUAUUGAACUUUUCCGCUGACAUAGUUUGAAUAUAUGUUCCUGACAAAGCCCAUGUUGAAUUGUAAUUCCAAUGUUGGAGGUGAGGCCUGGUGGGAAGUGUCUGGGUCAGGCCAGCAGGUCUGUCUUGGCCUGCUGCUGUCCUCAUGAUGGUGAGUUCUAAUGAGGUAAAAAUAUCUUCUUCAAGGAGGUGAUAUUUGUGCUGAAUCUUGAAAGGUGGUUGUGUUUACAUGCAGACUAGGCAGAAUGGGGAUUUUCAAGAUUUUAGGAAAAGAUAAAAGAAUAUGUGAAAGGUUCAAAAUGCAUUGUUGGAGGAGCUGCAUAGAAUUAGUGUUCAUUCUUCCACUAAACCAAGACAUAUGGUUGGUCACCCAUCAGCAGAGAGUGCACAUCAAGAUUUAUGACAUGAAAUUUCAAAAGACAAUAAAGCCUUGGGAUUUGGUCAAGACAUUUCCUGGAGGACCUUGAAUGACAUAUUAACAAGGUCAGCUUUUAACCAGUGAGGAGCCUACAUCUUUGCUUCCAAUAAAAGAGUAUUGUCAUGUGAAGGAAAGCAUUUUAGUAAAAACUGUACUGGGAUCAUAACUUCCUAAAGCAGUAUUUUCAUGCUUUAUUUCCCCCUUGCUUGACUUUUUCUCUUCCAGUACUUUUCUCAAUACUCUGGGAGAACACAGCCUGUAUUAAAAAU
RNAcentral lists this long non-coding RNA (4635 nucleotides) under Homo sapiens (human). Its description in RNAcentral is "HSALNT0162881". Lineage: Eukaryota; Metazoa; Chordata; Mammalia; Primates; Hominidae. The record is from RNAcentral.